GAGGUGGGAGGAUUGCUUGAGCCCGGGAGGUCGAGGCUGCAGUGAGCAGUGAUCAUGCCACUGCACUCCAGCCUGCGUGACAGAACAAGACCCUGUCUC
RNAcentral lists this microRNA precursor (99 nucleotides) under Chlorocebus sabaeus (green monkey). RNAcentral describes it as "miRNA (ENSCSAG00000020108.1)". The record is from RNAcentral. Lineage: Eukaryota; Metazoa; Chordata; Mammalia; Primates; Cercopithecidae.